RNAcentral lists this ribosomal RNA (908 nucleotides) under uncultured organism. Its description in RNAcentral is "bacterial SSU rRNA". It matches the Rfam family "Bacterial small subunit ribosomal RNA", at positions 49 to 965 of the family's 1533-position model. The record is from RNAcentral.
UAAUACAUGCAAGUCGAACGGUAACCCUUGGAUUCGUCUGAGGGGGAGAGUGGCGAACUGGUGAGUAACACGUAGGUGACCUGCCUCGAAGACGGGGAUAACCAUCGGAAACGGUGGCUAAUACCCGAUACAUUCGGCAAUUCAGUUUGUCGAGUAGAGCUCCGGCGCUUCGAGAUGGACCUGCGGCCUAUCAGCUAGUUGGUAGGGUAAUGGCCUACCAAGGCGAAGACGGGUAGGGGGCGUGAGAGCGUGGUCCCCCACACUGGCACUGAGAUACGGGCCAGACUCCUGCGGGAGGCAGCAGUCGGGGAUAUUGCACAAUCAGCGAAAGCUGGAUGCAGCGACGCCGCGUGGGCGAUGAAGGCCUUCGGGUUGUAAAGCCCUUUUAUGGGGGAAGAGAAAAAGGACGGUACCCCAAGAAUAAGUCCCGGCUAACUACGUGCCAGCAGCCGCGGUAAAACGUAGGGGACAAGCGUUAUCCGGAUUUACUGGGCGUAAAGAGCGUUGAGGCGGUUCCGUAAGUUGGGCGUUAAAGCCCCGGGCUCAACUCGGGGAGGUCGUUCAAUACUGCGGAACUUGAGGGCAGCAGAGGGAGGCGGAAUUCCCGGUGUAGCGGUGAAAUGCGUAGACAUCGGGAGGAACACCAGUGGCGAAGGCGGCCUCCUGGGCUGCUCCUGACGCUGAAGGCGAAAGCUAGGGGAGCGAACGGGAUUAGAAACCCCGGUAGUCCUAGCCGUAAACGAUGGAUGCUGGGUGUGGGGGGUAUAGAUUCCCUCCGUGCCGAAGCUAACGCGUUAAGCAAUCCACCGCCUGGGGACUUUUACGGCCGCAAGGCUAAAAACUCAAACGAAUUGACGGGUCCCCGCACAAGCAGCGGAGGCGUGUGGUUUAAUUCGAUGCUAAACCAA